RNAcentral lists this ribosomal RNA (663 nucleotides) under Cellulosimicrobium cellulans. Its description in RNAcentral is "bacterial SSU rRNA". It matches the Rfam family "Bacterial small subunit ribosomal RNA", at positions 82 to 760 of the family's 1533-position model. The record is from RNAcentral. Lineage: Bacteria; Bacillati; Actinomycetota; Actinomycetes; Micrococcales; Promicromonosporaceae.
GCUGGGCGGAUUAGUGGCGAACGGGUGAGUAACACGUGAGUAACCUGCCCUUGACUUCGGGAUAACUCCGGGAAACCGGGGCUAAUACCGGAUAUGAGCCGCCUUCGCAUGGGGGUGGUUGGAAAGUUUUUCGGUCAGGGAUGGGCUCGCGGCCUAUCAGCUUGUUGGUGGGGUGAUGGCCUACCAAGGCGACGACGGGUAGCCGGCCUGAGAGGGCGACCGGCCACACUGGGACUGAGACACGGCCCAGACUCCUACGGGAGGCAGCAGUGGGGAAUAUUGCACAAUGGGCGAAAGCCUGAUGCAGCGACGCCGCGUGAGGGAUGAAGGCCUUCGGGUUGUAAACCUCUUUCAGCAGGGAAGAAGCGCAAGUGACGGUACCUGCAGAAGAAGCGCCGGCUAACUACGUGCCAGCAGCCGCGGUAAUACGUAGGGCGCAAGCGUUGUCCGGAAUUAUUGGGCGUAAAGAGCUCGUAGGCGGUUUGUCGCGUCUGGUGUGAAAACUCGAGGCUCAACCUCGAGCUUGCAUCGGGUACGGGCAGACUAGAGUGCGGUAGGGGAGACUGGAAUUCCUGGUGUAGCGGUGGAAUGCGCAGAUAUCAGGAGGAACACCGAUGGCGAAGGCAGGUCUCUGGGCCGCAACUGACGCUGAGGAGCGAAAGC